RNAcentral lists this RNase P RNA (295 nucleotides) under bovine gut metagenome. Its description in RNAcentral is "Bacterial RNase P class A". It matches the Rfam family "Bacterial RNase P class A", at positions 44 to 362 of the family's 367-position model. Rfam says of the family: Ribonuclease P (RNase P) is a ubiquitous endoribonuclease, found in archaea, bacteria and eukarya as well as chloroplasts and mitochondria. Its best characterised activity is the generation of mature 5'-ends of tRNAs by cleaving the 5'-leader elements of precursor-tRNAs. The record is from RNAcentral.
AGGAAAGUCCGGGCUUCACAGGGCAGGAUGCCGGAUAACGUCCGGUGGAGGCGACUCCAAGGCCAGUGCAACAGAAAUAAACCGCCGGUUUUACCGGUAAGGGUGGAAAGGCGGGGUAAGAGCCCACCGUCGUCAUGGUAACAUGACGAGCCAUGUAAACCCCAUCCGAAGCAAGACCAUAUUGUCAGCUAUGCGGCUGCCCGUCGCGCUGCAGGUAGGUCGCUAGAGCCUGGUGGCAACAUCAGGACCAGAAAGAUGAUCAUCUGAUACAGAACCCGGCUUAUAGUGCUGCUCA